This 293-nucleotide long non-coding RNA is filed under the name Capsicum annuum. RNAcentral describes it as "long non-coding RNA (CANN_LNC004381)". The record is from RNAcentral. Lineage: Eukaryota; Viridiplantae; Streptophyta; Magnoliopsida; Solanales; Solanaceae.
AUCUUUGUCAUCUUACUCGCUUGAUCUCCCUUGAUCUCAGUGGCAACCAUUUCACUGGUGGUAUCCCCACUAUGCUCGCAAACUGCAGCCAAGUUGACACGAUUCGCCUCAACGACAACAGGUUUUCAGGAUCCAUCCCACCACAGAUUUUCAAAUCAAGUAAGCUUUUAUACCUUGAUUUGGGUGACAAUCGCCUCAAUGGAACCAUUCCUUCUGAGGUAGGACUGUCGACAAGCCUUCAAUAUCUUGGGCUGUGGAACACUUUCCUUAGUGGAAAUGUUCCAAAAGAGCUA